Molecule: RNA transcript, 1374 nt
Organism: Malania oleifera
Lineage: Eukaryota; Viridiplantae; Streptophyta; Magnoliopsida; Santalales; Ximeniaceae
Exons: 8
Source: RefSeq, a predicted model, not a curated record
GGCAGCAAGAAACAGCAAUUUUCUCCUUUCGUCUUUAACUGAACAAAAUAUUGAAAUUUCCUUCCUCUGAAAAACUGAGUGCCAUAGAUAAUCUCAGAGAGAGAGAGAGAGAGAUAGGCCAUUUUGUUGAUUUGUGAAGCAGGGAAGGUCUGAGUUCAUGGCGCAGUUCACGGCGCAGGGACGCCUAAAGCAUCUGUUCAGGGGCGAAACAGUGUCAGUGGGAGUGGUCUUGGAUACCAAAGACCUAAAAAGUCAAUAUAAGGUCGGAGGUGGUGUGAAAUGCAUGGUGGACUCCCACUCAACCUGCCCCCACAAUCAUCGCCGGACCCUAAAGUUUCUUCCUUCUACCGCACUUUUCUCUUCCUCCUUCCUCAAGAAAUCCGUCCGCUCCAGUGCAGAAGCGCGUUCCACUGUCGGCGUAGACGAUGCCUUUCAUGGUUAUGACGGCGUCGAUGAGCUUGAGAACGAUGAGCUGUCGUGUUUCAGGGGUCUCGUCUUGGAUAUCUCUUACAGGCCUGUCAAUGUUGUCUGCUGGAGGCGUGCUAUUUGUUUGGAAUUCAUGGAGAAGGCUGAUGUUCUAGAAUAUUAUGAUCAGACUGUAAACUCUCCAAGUGGAUUGUUCUACAUACCAGCUGUCUUAAGAGUUCCCCAUUUGCUGCAGGUUGUCAAGAGGAGAAGGAUCAGAAACACCCUUACUCGCAAGAAUAUAUUUUACCGGGACAAUUUCACGUGCCAGUAUUGUUCUUCGAGUCACAACUUGACUAUUGAUCAUCUUUUGCCAAUUGCACGAGGUGGAAAUUGGAUAUGGGAAAAUUUGGUAACUGCUUGUGAGAAAUGCAACUCAAGAAAAGGUCAAAAAACUUUAGAGGAAGCAAAUAUGAAGCUAACUAAAAUUCCGAAGGCGCCUAAAGACUAUGACAUAUUGGCCAUUCCUUUAACAACUGCAGCUAUAAAGUUGCUGAGAAUGAGAAAGGGAACACCCCAAGAAUGGAACCAAUAUCUACAAAGACAAUCUUAGGAGCCAUGAUGUCAAAAUCAGUCACUUUGCGCAUGAUAAUAAUAUUUUCCUUGUCAAGGGUGCAGUCUCACUGAAAACGCCUCCCAAAGUUUAUCAGUUUAAAACCAAUGAAAUGAAAAUACUGCAGUGUGAAAUCUACAAUGUAAAUCUUGAAAUGUGAUUACUGAAAAUGUGAACAUUACAAUGUUAGUGUUGCAAUGAGAAUGAUGAAAUGUGAAUGCUGGUAUGUGAAUAUGAAAAUGUGAAUGUGAGAAAUGUGAAUAUUGUAACGUGAAUACUGCAAUAUGAAUGUGAAAUGAGAAUACUGGAAAUGUGAAAAAUUGCAUUGUGAAUAAUGCAAUUGUGAAUUAUUGAAA